Pelobates cultripes (western spadefoot toad) is the source of this 107-nucleotide non-coding RNA. The record is from the annotation of a GenBank genome assembly. NCBI's taxonomy places the organism in Eukaryota, Metazoa, Chordata, Amphibia, Anura, Pelobatidae.
AAAGAAAACCAGACAUGGAAUAGAAAACCAGAAAAACCAAGAAAAACUAAACAAGAAUUGUUUAGUUUUUCUUGGUUUUUCUGGUUUUCUAUUCCAUGUCUGGUUUU